GAAUAGAACAUAAUUUUUUUUUUUACAUGGUCGGACAUCUCUCCAGAUUUAGCGACCAAUAGUUUUUACAACAACGUUGGAUGUUUCUAUUCUGGUCAGUCUGCAGUCAGUGUCACUCAUUAUUCUUUAUUUAGUAUAAAUAUUAAUUCUAUGCUUGCAUCGUCCUAUAAACUCAUAUGUAGGCUAAUAACUCGCUCUCUCGCUCUCCCUCUCAUCGUAUUAAUUGUCGUGCGUGCUCCAGCAUAAUUCGAGGGAGAGAGGGAAGACGACACGCUGUUGAAGGGAGAGGAGGGAAGAGAUGCUGUUGAUUUGAACCUGCGCCGCCAGAACACGGGAUAAUAUAUCUAGCUGAGGAUCUACCUACCUGAACAAGGUGCUCCGUAUUGAACAGGCACCUGCCGUUCUUUGACCACCCAUCACCAUCACCAUGUCAAAGGACCAGUCUCUAAAUCCCUCCCAUCUGUCCCUCUCUCCACCUAUAUAGACCACCCAUCACCAUCACCAUGUCAAAGGACCAGUCUCUAAAUCCCUCCCAUCCGUCCCUCUCUCCACCUAUAUAGACCACCCAUCACCAUCACCAUGUCAAAGGACCAGUCUCUAAAUCCCUCCCAUCCGUCCCUCUCUCCACCUAUAUAGACCACCCAUCACCAUCACCAUGUCAAAGGACCAGUCUCUAAAUCCCUCCCAUCUGUCCCUCUCUCCACCUAUAUAGACCACCCAUCACCAUCACCAUGUCAAAGGACCAGUCUCUAAAUCCCUCCCAUCCGUCCCUCUCUCCACCUAUAUAGACCACCCAUCACCAUCACCAUGUCAAAGGACCAGUCUCUAAAUCCCUCCCAUCUGUCCCUCUCUCCACCUAUAUAGACCACCCAUCACCAUCACCAUGUCAAAGGACCAGUCUCUAAAUCCCUCCCAUCCGUCCCUCUCUCCACCUAUAUAGACCACCCAUCACCAUCACCACCAUGUCAAAGGACCAGUCUCUAAAUCCCUCCCAUCCGUCCCUCUCUCCACCUAUAUAGACCACCCAUCACCAUCACCAUGUCAAAGGACCAGUCUCUAAAUCCCUCCCAUCCGUCCCUCUCUCCACCUAUAUAGACCACCCAUCACCAUCACCACCAUGUCAAAGGACCAGUCUCUAAAUCCCUCCCAUCCGUCCCUCUCUCCACCUAUAUAGACCACCCAUCACCAUCACCAUGUCAAAGGACCAGUCUCUAAAUCCCUCCCAUCCGUCCCUCUCUCCACCUAUAUAGACCACCCAUCACCAUCACCAUGUCAAAGGACCAGUCUCUAAAUCCCUCCCAUCCGUCCCUCUCUCCACCUAUAUAGACCACCCAUCACCAUCACCAUGUCAAAGGACCAGUCUCUAAAUCCCUCCCAUCCGUCCCUCUCUCCACCUAUAUAGACCACCCAUCACCAUCACCAUGUCAAAGGACCAGUCUCUAAAUCCCUCCCAUCCGUCCCUCUCUCCACCUAUAUAGACCACCCAUCACCAUCACCAUGUCAAAGGACCAGUCUCUAAAUCCCUCCCAUCCGUCCCUCUCUCCACCUAUAUAGACCACCCAUCACCAUCACCAUGUCAAAGGACCAGUCUCUAAAUCCCUCCCAUCCGUCCCUCUCUCCACCUAUAUAGACCACCCAUCACCAUCACCAUGUCAAAGGACCAGUCUCUAAAUCCCUCCCAUCCGUCCCUCUCUCCACCUAUAUAGACCACCCAUCACCAUCACCAUGUCAAAGGACCAGUCUCUAAAUCCCUCCCAUCCGUCCCUCUCUCCACCUAUAUAGACCACCCAUCACCAUCACCAUGUCAAAGGACCAGUCUCUAAAUCCCUCCCAUCCGUCCCUCUCUCCACCUAUAUAGACCACCCAUCACCAUCACCAUGUCAAAGGACCAGUCUCUAAAUCCCUCCCAUCCGUCCCUCUCUCCACCUAUAUAGACCACCCAUCACCAUCACCAUGUCAAAGGACCAGUCUCUAAAUCCCUCCCAUCCGUCCCUCUCUCCACCUAUAUAGACCACCCAUCACCAUCACCACCAUGUCAAAGGACCAGUCUCUAAAUCCCUCCCAUCCGUCCCUCUCUCCACCUAUAUAGACCACCCAUCACCACCAUGUCAAAGGACCAGUCUCUAAAUCCCUCCCAUCCGUCCCUCUCUCCACCUAUAUAGACCACCCAUCACCACCAUGUCAAAGGACCAGUCUCUAAAUCCCUCCCAUCCGUCCCUCUCUCCACCUAUAUAGACCACCCAUCACCAUCACCACCAUGUCAAAGGACCAGUGUGACUCCGUAGCAGUGAGCGUCGAGUCCCUCUUAACCGACGCAGUUAAGAUGCAGUCCCAGUGUCGGGAGCGUAGUGAGCAGCUAGCUGUGGCCGCCGCCGCACUGCGGGAGGAGUCGGCGUGCUUGAGAGAACAGUGUCAAGCCACCCAGCUGGACAUGGCUCAGAUGAGAAGACAGCUAGAACAACUGCUGGACAGCAAGGCUCAGAUGGAGGCCAGUGAUCGAAUGCACCGCAAACUCAGCAAGACACUCUAAAGGGAAAGGAGGGGAAGGAGAGUGAGAAAAUAAGAACGGCUGGAUAACAAAGCUCCGACAGACCCGGGAAAACUUAGCAGUUAAAAUGUCUCCUGUUCUCUAACGCUAUCUAUCUUCCGUCUCUAAACAAUAGACUUUAUUCUUCAUAAGCAGUUAUUAUGCUAGCUAUAUAGGCCCUCAAGUCUCUUCACGGAGAUUGAAUGUUUAUGGGUCUGAAUAAAUAACUGCUAUAGUCUACCGUCAUUGGUCAUUCGCGCUUCUUUCAAACCCGCAAGUGCUAUUGGCUGCUGUAUGUAACAUUCGGCAGAAAAGAAGGAUCCUUCUAUUGGUAUAAGAAAUGCUAAAAAAAUAAUACCCCAAAAACAUAUUCUAGUUUUUCCUGCAUGGGACCAAGAGCUAAGGAGCGUUUUUUAAAGGGGAGGCGAGCGGAGCUCAGGCGCUUGGGUAUUACGCAAGAGACAGAAGCUAUAAAUUUGAAGCUUAUUAGACAUAAUCCAUAAUUAAUUAACAUAUAUAUAUAUAUAUAUAAGGCUAUAAUAUAAGGCUAAUACUGAAUUGAAUGUAUUACCUGAAAGAGGUAGGCUAGGACAUUAUAUAUAAAUAUAUAUAUUUAGGGCUAGGACAUCUAUAAUUAAUGUAUAUAGGGCUAGGACAUCAAUAUAUAGGAGAUAUAUAUAUAUAUAUAUAUAUAUAUAUAUAUAUAUAGGAC
This is a long non-coding RNA of Oncorhynchus tshawytscha (Chinook salmon), 3239 nucleotides long. RefSeq lists it as uncharacterized. The record is from RefSeq and is a predicted model, not a curated record. NCBI's taxonomy places the organism in Eukaryota, Metazoa, Chordata, Actinopteri, Salmoniformes, Salmonidae. The transcript is spliced from 3 exons.